CCGCCGGCGACCGGCGCACGGGUGAGUAACGCGUAUGCAACCUGCCCGUUUCAGCGGGAUAACCCGGAGAAAUCCGGCCUAAUACCGCACGUGGCCGAGGGGAGGCAUCUUCUUUCGGCCAAAGGAGGCGACUCCGGAGACGGAUGGGCAUGCGUGACAUUAGCUUGUUGGCGGGGUAACGGCCCACCAAGGCGACGAUGUCUAGGGGUUCUGAGAGGAAGGUCCCCCACACUGGUACUGAGACACGGACCAGACUCCUACGGAAGGCAGCAG
Molecule: ribosomal RNA, 273 nt
Filed under: uncultured bacterium
Lineage: Bacteria
Description: partial 16S ribosomal RNA
Rfam family: Bacterial small subunit ribosomal RNA
Source: RNAcentral